AUAAAAAUUAGGAUUAGAAUUUGUGGCCAUUGAUUGUUUUUGAUCUUGUGGCCUAAGAUUAAUCUUCUCCAUCUAUGCUUUCUACUCUCUCUUUGAAUCGUGAAACCUAAAAUCACGAAGUCUUCAGAUCUACACACAGAGCUUGACUGGGUUCAACCCUCUGUCUCUGUAUCUCUAUCUCUCUCACUCGGCCAUGAUGAAAGCUUCGACAAGGCUUGACUCUAGUCAUAAGCAGAGGAGGAGAAGAGGCUCGCCGGAGAUGAAUAAAGGGGAAAGUCUCAGCCUCUCUUUGCCAUGAACCUCGCCGGUCAAGCGCGCUCUCUCUCUCUCUCUCUCUCUCUCUCUCUCACUCAUUUUGUUUUGAUUUUGGUACAGGAAGGUGGGUCGCGAGCUUGAAGGUGGCGGUGACAAGGCGGGGCAAGGCGGCAGCUGCGAAUCCCUCGUUUCUGGGACUAUUGAUUCAGUUGCUCCAAGAGAACUCAUGCAACAGCAGAUUUGAGUGGUGCUAUUGAGGCAGGAAACAAGGAGGACUUUGAGAAGUACAGCAAACGAACUGUGAAGACUCAAAGUUUCUCUGUCAACAGCCUCGUUCUACUCCUUUCCUCUCAUGUGGGCAGUGGAGUGUCUCUAUGUGGGAAGUUACCUCUCUUGCAGAAUUCCAGCGAUCUUAGGAUUGUUUUGUAGGUUGAAGAUGAAGUCCCUAGACUCAGCAAUUGUUUUGGUUUGUGUAUUUGGAUGAUUCUAUUUUGUAGGUUGAAGAUGAAGUCCCUAGACUAAGCAAUUGUACAAUCUGUUUUGUACCUAUUUAGAAACUUGGAGAGAUGGUUCUGAUAAUAUAUGGAAAUGUUAUAUGAUAAAAAGAAAAUCUAAUACUAAUAACAAAAUUAGAAAGAAAAAAACAAAAAUAAUAUUUUUACCUUAAAAUCUAAAUUCUAAACAUGUCCUAAACUCUAAUAUCUAACACUUAUUAUAAAUUUCAAAAUGAACAUUUUAAAUUCAAAUACUAAAUUUAGAUUUCUAAUGUAAUAGUAUUUUUAACUUCCAAAACACAAAUCUUAAAUUAUUGUUCAAAAAUUAAAUUAUUGUUUAUAUUUACAAAGUACCUAUUAAAUUUCGAUCUAUAAAAAAAAUUGUUUGUAUUUUGUAAUUAAAAAAAACAAAAAACAAAACCCUAAACUAAACAUGUUUUUAUGUAAACAUAUUUUUCAUAAUAGUUUUAAUCUUAAACUUAAAUUAAAAAUUUCAUCAUUUUAAAAAUCUAUAAAAAAUUUUUUUGCUUAUUUGUAUUUUUUUAAUUAAAAAAGCCAAAACCCUAAACCCUAAACAUGUUAUAAAAUUCUAAACAUAAUUUUCAAUUUUCAAUUUUUCAUAAUAUAAUUUUAAUCUUAAACUUAAAUUCAAAAUUUAAUCAUUUUAAAAUCUAAUCUCAAAUUAAAGAUCAAAACCUCAAGUUUAGGACAUCUACGAGAGACGAAAACAGAAAUCCAAUGUCAAGAUUACACAUGUUAAGUUUGGAUUGUUCUUUUAAGAUGUAUUCUCAGGUUUGAUUAUUGAAUUACUUGUUCUGUUCUGAGACUUGCAUUUGAUUCUUAACGCAGAGAAAGGAAGCAAUGAUGAUACUAGUCGGAGGAGAGAAAUAGAAGGAGAGUCGGAGUAGACUCGUUGGUGUGAGUCCGAGAGAGAGACUUCGAGAGGGAGAGAGUUUUGAUUUUUUUUUCUAAGUGUUUAGGCUUGUUAGUGUUUUGUGGGAUGUUUUGUGCUUUAAUGAUAAAUUUUGGCUAAAAAUGAAUUGGAGCCAAAACCCCAAAAUAUUAUUGGAGCCAAAUCUAUUUUUUUUAUUUAUCAAAUUGGAGCCAAAUCUUAUGGAGGGAAAUAUAACUGGAACAAAAUAUUAUUCUCUUGUAAUCCCUAAAACUAUAGAUUUUCAUAUUUUAAAGUGUAACCCCUGAAACUAUAACCCUGAAGAUAGUCAUCCUUGUCUUUCUUGAUAGACCAAUGAUAACAUUUCUUCAUUUUUUAAUCAUUAAUUGAUUGUACCUUUUUUAAUCAAUUUUUACAUGUAUUAUAAUUAUAUUAUAGUUUGAGUUUAAGUUUAAAAUUUAAAUAUAAGUUUAAUGAUCAGAUUUAUAGCUUGGAGAAUAAAACUAGAGAUUUAGGGUAUAUGGUAUGGAAUAUAGGGUUUGGGUUUAAGAAUGAGAUAUAUAUAUAUAUCAUUUUAUUUUAACUUUGUCUAUCUAGAUUUAGAAUAGAAUAUAGGGUUUGAGUUUAAGAGCUUAAUUAGGUUGAAUUAGGGAUUUUAAUCUCAGAUAUUAAAUCUAAACCUCAUACCCUAAACUAGACACAUAUAUAUAUCAUAACUCUAAAUUAAUCACAUUCUAAUAUAACUUCAAUUUUAAACUUAAAAUCAAAAUUCAAUCAUAUUGUUUAUUGCAAAAUAAUUUUAUAUAAUUUAUAUGUUUGAGUGUAAACUAAAGGAUAUAUAUGUAUAGUAGCUUAGGGGUUUAUACGUUACACCUCGAACCCUAACAUUACACUUCAAACCGUAAACUCUACAUCCAAAUCUUAAUACAAACUAUCAUAUUAUUAUUUUCAAACAAUAAUCUCAAAUCUUAUCAUAACUCUAAAUAUCAUACGUUUAAAUUCAUAAACUAAACUUCAAAUCUAAUAUUCUUUUCUUAGAUCUUAAAUCUUAAAACUAGCUUUACACUCAAAUUUAUACACAAUUUCAAAAAUUUUAAACUUAAAAUUUAAAUUAUAAAUAAACUACAAAAUAUAAAUUUUGAAUAAAACAUUAAUUUUAAAAAUGUAAAUACAAAAAAAAAUCAUCAAAUAAUGAAAUACAAGACACAAAAAAAUAAAAAAGAAAGACAAAGCUCUGUUGCCCAAUUAGAUCUAUAUACACGGAUCACCUUCUAAGACGUUGGAUUAUAAUACAUCAAAGGCUGAGAUUUAAUUUUUUUUUUUCUCCUCACAGGCUCCCCCUCUCUCUGCGGAUCAUUCUUCUUUUUUUUCUUCUUCUUUUCAUCUUCUCUGCUGUCAUCUUUCCCACCGAUUUUGAAGCCUCGAUUUCGUGUCCACGGCCCUGUUAUCUUCCUCAAGCCUCGAUUUCAUCUCUACCGAUGACGCCGAGAUCUAGUUCUGCCAAUACACAAAGCUGUUCAACUUCCCUCUCAAAGUUUCCCUUUUGGAUUUGUCUCUAAGUUCUUCGCAAAGGCAAGACUUGGAUUUGCCUCAAAACUGACUCGAUUUAUGUUUCUCUUUUGCUGAACUUCUUGAUUUCAACAACCUGAUGAAAAACCUGGUUAUAAAGUUGGUUCAUUUGUCUUAUACUUUCGUUGAAAUGAGACAAGACCUGACUGGUUUUCUUAAGGAGAAGAAAAUGGAGAUGCGUCGGAGAAGACUGGUUUUAAGCUCGCCGCCAGCAUGAUGAAGAUCAGGUUCUCAAUCGGACUCGGAUUAGGCAUCGCUGCUCUCCUUCUUGUUGGCCUCUUCUUUCUUCCUCAGUCUUUGGAUUCUCAUGGACAUUGACAGAAGCCGAGGAGCCAGAAGAUAUCUUUCAGGUCGAUAAAGGCAAAGCUUCAUGGAGAUCUAGAGGCUAAGUCCCUUGGUGCUCCUGGAACCUGUGUUGCUGAAUUGGUAUUUAACACUUCCUUGACAGGUUAGAGGCGUGGAUCUUAGAUGGAGUUGGAGUCGAGCAAGAUGGAAGAGAGGAGAUGGAGUUGGUUCAGAAGCUAGAAAAGAGAGAUAGAUGAGAAGCUUGAUGGUGGUGGAAGACCAGAAAUGUUAGGGAUGACUGUAAAGGAUUAUUAGUGGUAGAUUGAGACUAUGUUUGUUAGGUUUUGAUGGUUUAAGUAAACAAGGAUAUGUUUUAUGGUUUUGUAAACAUUUUCUUUUUUAGUUUUUAUAAUAUGAUUAAUUAUUUUAA
Brassica napus (rape) is the source of this 3925-nucleotide long non-coding RNA. RefSeq lists it as uncharacterized. The transcript has 7 exons. Lineage: Eukaryota; Viridiplantae; Streptophyta; Magnoliopsida; Brassicales; Brassicaceae. The record is from RefSeq and is a predicted model, not a curated record.